AGCUCCAACGGACAGCAGCGAGGAGACACCACCGGCAACCACUCAUAUCGCGAAUCGAAGCUCGGAGAAGCGAAUCCAGCCCAGCUGAUGAGAAACGGACAGCAGAUUCCUUCUGCUUGAGCAAAGGUAAGGCGCUAAAGCUGUUUUACUUUUCUUGUAAGUGAAUUAAUUCUUGAAUGCUCUCUGUUUGGUCAUUGAAAUGACCUCAAUAAUAAGAAGAAAUCAAUCCUUAAAAACCAUCUUCAGAAACCCCAAAGAUUCAUUUUUUAACUCAACCCUUAA
Molecule: unclassified non-coding RNA, 282 nt
Filed under: Hevea brasiliensis (rubber tree)
Lineage: Eukaryota; Viridiplantae; Streptophyta; Magnoliopsida; Malpighiales; Euphorbiaceae
Source: RNAcentral